CUGUGUUGUUUCAGUUUUUGUACAGGCAAACAAACUGCAGCAGCACAUCUUUGCAGUCCAUGGGCAGGAAGAUAAAAUUUAUGACUGUUCCCAGUGUCCACAGAAGUUCUUCUUUCAAACAGAGCUUCAGAACCACACAUUGAGCCAGCACGCACAGUGAGCCACUGGCACUACAGGACACCUCUCUGCAGAAGACUUGACGGUGGCACAGUGGGGAGGACCAUUUGAACAUUACAUCCAAUCAAAGUGUCAUUUGCAACCCAGAUGUAAAACUCUAAUGAUUUGGCCAUGAGGCGCUGCUAUUAUAAGCAGCUGGAAAUGAAUAUUAAUGGAAGAGAUUAAAAGUAUUCCAUGCUCAGUAUUUUUUAUUGUCCUGCUUCAGCUAGUGUACUUUAGAGCUUCUGCUUCUGACUGAAUUUAUAGUGUUAGAUAAAUCUGCUUUGAUGCUGUUGCCCUUUGUUGCUUCUUGUAUUAUAUUGAUAGUUAAAGAUUAGGUGUGAUUUUUUUCUUUUUUGUUAACUGCUUUUUAAUUGCAAUUUUAGGUAACUGUGCUUUGUGAUGUGAUUGCUUGGCUAUUGUCUGAAUAUUUCUUUUUAAUUUUUUAAUUAAAGACUAAUGCUUUGAUUGGAUUUGCCAGUUCACCGGACAGUGAUUAAAACUCUGUAAUGAAUAUAAUCGGUUUCAGUGCAACUGGAUGGUUCUGCUUUAUAAAUGUGACUUAAUCUGAUUGCAAUAACUAGUACAGCUCAAUAAAGGGAAUACAUGA
Apaloderma vittatum (bar-tailed trogon) is the source of this 766-nucleotide long non-coding RNA. RefSeq lists it as uncharacterized. The record is from RefSeq and is a predicted model, not a curated record. NCBI's taxonomy places the organism in Eukaryota, Metazoa, Chordata, Aves, Trogoniformes, Trogonidae. The transcript has 2 exons.